RNAcentral lists this long non-coding RNA (321 nucleotides) under Physcomitrium patens. Its description in RNAcentral is "long non-coding RNA (PPAT_LNC004473)". The record is from RNAcentral. Lineage: Eukaryota; Viridiplantae; Streptophyta; Bryopsida; Funariales; Funariaceae.
UUAAUUUAAUUCUAGUUAAAAUCCUAUUGAACUUCAUUAAAACUUUAGGCCAAAAAUAAUUGAAUCUUAAAUCCUAAUAAAAUCUUAAAUCCUAAAUCAAACCCUAAACAAAACUUAAACCAAAUCCCAACCAAAUCCUAAACCAAAUCCUAACCAAAUCCUAAACCAAACCCUAAAUCCUAAAUAAAAUCCUAACUAAAUCCUAAACCAAAUCCUAAUCCAAACCCUAAAUCCUAAACCAAAUCCUAACCAAAUCCUAAAUCCUAAAUAAACCCUAACCAAAUCCUAAUCCAAAUCCUAAAUCCUAAACCAAAUCCUAAC